GCAUCGAUGGUUCAGUGGUAGAAUGCUCGCUUGGCAACUGGGCGGCCCGGGUUCGAUUCCCGGUCGAUGCA
RNAcentral lists this transfer RNA (71 nucleotides) under Daphnia pulicaria. Its description in RNAcentral is "tRNA-Ala". It matches the Rfam family "tRNA". Rfam says of the family: Transfer RNA (tRNA) molecules are approximately 80 nucleotides in length. Their secondary structure includes four short double-helical elements and three loops (D, anti-codon, and T loops). Lineage: Eukaryota; Metazoa; Arthropoda; Branchiopoda; Diplostraca; Daphniidae. The record is from RNAcentral.